UUCUCAUCCAGCUAAGCUAUUUCGAAUUGAGAAAGGGCAGCUGGAACCUCAUGGUGAUGGAUCUUUGACAAGGGACCUGCUAGAAACACAUAAAUGCUACAUUCUAGAUUGUGGAUCUGAAGUAUUUGCAUGGAUGGGAAGAAAUACCUCUCUUGAUGACCGCAAGAAGGCGACUGCAGCUGCAGAGCAACUGGUGCAUGGACCUGAUAGACCAAAAUCACAAUUAACUUGUGUGAUUGAAGGUUUCGAGACGGCAACAUUCCGGUCAAAAUUUGAUUCAUGGCCUCAAGUUACCAAUGUAGUUGUAUCAGAG
Molecule: unclassified non-coding RNA, 313 nt
Filed under: Hevea brasiliensis (rubber tree)
Lineage: Eukaryota; Viridiplantae; Streptophyta; Magnoliopsida; Malpighiales; Euphorbiaceae
Source: RNAcentral